GGUAUGGGAUGAAAGCGGUGAAGGGAAACCGAGUUAACCCCUAAGCC
Molecule: unclassified non-coding RNA, 47 nt
Filed under: Pyrococcus horikoshii OT3
Lineage: Archaea; Methanobacteriati; Methanobacteriota; Thermococci; Thermococcales; Thermococcaceae
Description: RNA (47-MER) from Pyrococcus horikoshii OT3 (PDB 5XTM, chain B)
Source: RNAcentral